AUGCAUUCUGGCUCCAUCCAGCUAAUUUUUCAUGCACAAAUUGCAGGUGCCAAGCAUAUUUGGCACAGUCCAGGAAUGCCUGGACAAAACUGUGAGUUCUCCUGGCAGCUGGGCUUGUGGAAUAUCCACAGAGGAGCAUGGAGCUUCGUUUUCAAAUCCUAGCUUUGCCUGAUAGGAGCUACAUCUCUCAGAUGGAUUCAUUAUAAUCAUGGGACUGUAGGCUUUGAUUCUGAGAAGAUGUUCUAACCCUGGCCUACUUGCUGGUAUCUCAAUUUCAUUUUUCAUGGUGAAAUCACAUUGGUUCUGGUAUUGUCAAGACCAUCUCUCUCUGCAUAUGGCUGCAGAAUAAGAAGGACAAGAAAAGUUUGAGAUGAAUCUGCAUGGACAAUGAAGGAUCUCCUGAAAAACACUCAGGAAAAGAAAAUAUAGAAACGUGCAGAGACAGAAAGAGCAUCAUGUUACCCAGGAGAGGAAAACAGAGAGAGAAGUCUAAGCAUACAGAGAUAGAGUUAGAAAAAUCAAAGACUGUCUGGACUUGAAUUGAGCUACCUACAUCAUCUACCUGGAUUUGUGUUUUCAACUGGAUGCUGUCCUGCAUCCUUGUCUCAAAAAUGAGGAGAGACAUGGCUUUGAUGGAUGGACCACUCAUUGAAUAAGAAAUUGUCUUGAUGGUCACACUGAAAGAGUUGAAGUCAGUGGUUUAAUGUCCAGAUAGAGACUAGAAAUUGCUAGUAUCUCUUCGAAGUCUGCCCUGGGACUAGUAUAAUUUAACAUUUUUGUCAGUGACAUGGACAGUGGGAUUGCACCCCCAACAAGUUUGCUGAUGACACCAAGGUCAGUGGUGUGGUCAAGACACUGGAAUGAAGGGAUGCCACCCAGAUGGAUUUUGACAGGCUUGAGAGGUGGAACAAGUGGGACAAAGUUGGAUGAGGACUUGUAGGUACUGGUGGUUUAAAAACUUGACAUGAAUCAACAAUGUGCACUUGGAGUCCUAUUAGGCAUCAAAAGAAGUGUAGCAAGUAGGUUGUGGGAGUUGAUUGUCCUCCUCUACUCCACUCCCAUAAGACCCCACUGGGAGUACUGAAUUUAUCUCUGUGGCCAAUAGAGUAAGAAAGACAUGGAUACACUAAAGCUUGUCCAGAAGAUGGCCAUGCAGAUGAUAAGAGGGCUGGAGCACCUAUCCUACAAUGUCAUCCUGAGAACAUUGGAAUUAUUUAGCCUAGAGAAGAGAAAGCUAUGGGAAGACCUUUUAGUAGCCUUCCAGUACUGAGAGGGGACUUAUAAAAAAGGUAAAGAGUGAAUCUUUACAUGUACAGACAGUGAUGGAACAAGGUAGAAUGGUUUUACACUAAAAGAGGAGAGAUUUAGAUCAGGUGAUAGAAGGAAAUUCUUGACCCAGAAGGUUGUGAGGCAGUGGAAUAAGAAGCUCAGAGAUAUGAAUGCCCUAUCCCUGGAAUUGCUCAAGGCUAGGUUAGAUGGACCUUUGGGCAACCUGGUGUAGUGGAAGUUGUCCCUGUCGAUGGGAUCCAUCCAUAGAAUCCAAGCCAAGCCAUUCUAUGAAUCUAUGAUUCACUGUAUGAAUUUGGAGAGAUCAUACAAUACAACAUGAAAGGUUUCUGCAGAUCCAUCAGCAAUAAAAGAAAAACUGAGGGUAAUAUGGUCUUGCUGCUGGAUAGGCAGCGACUUGAUGUCAAAGCAGGGGUGUGGAAAGGUCUGACGCUCUUCCUGAUUUCUUCAUCUUAUCUUGUCUUCAGAAAUCUCAUGUCCUUGAAACCCAUGGGAAAGCCUGGAGCAAAGCAAAUUAACAUGCCAGUAGAGGAAGAUGCAGUUAAGGAAAAUAUGAACCAGUUGUAACUUGUAAACAUGUCGAUGGGACUUGAUUGGAUGCAACCACAAGUGUUGAGUUUUUAGUGCUUUCAGCACUCUGGCCUGUAGCAUCCUUGUUGACAAACUGGUGGAAUAGAGUCUAGAGAAGCUGAUGAUGAGGUAUGAUGAGACAGAUUGAUGAAGCCAGUCCAUCUCUAGAGGUGAACUCAAAAGAACUGGGGCCAGUACUGUUUAAGAUCUUCAUAGAUAUGAUGGAACAUAGUGAAAAUUUUCAGACACAAAGUUGGAAAGAGAAAGCAGUAUACCAAAUGUUUGUGUUACCCUUUAGAAGGACCUCAACAGGCUGGAGAACUGAGCUGUCAGGAUUAUCCUGAAGUUUAAGAAAUGGAAAUGUUAAUUCUUGUCCAGGGAGGAGGAAGCCUCAGGCACUCACACAAAGAAGCUGAGGUCUGAAUAUCUGGAAAGCAGCCUUGCAGAAAAGGUCGUGGGGACCUGGUGGGCACCUAAAGGAACAUGAGACAACAAUGUGUUCUAGAGCAUAUGAGGCCAUCAGCGCCUGGGCUGCACUAUGAAAAAUGUCACAAGCAGAUCAAAGGAGGAAAGAGCUCACCUAUUUCAAGGAUCCUAGUUAAGCCAAAGGCUUUUCUAGGUUUUGUAUUGGUCAAAUGGCUGUAUGAAACCAUGUCUGUGACUGAAAAUGUUUUGUCUCUAAAUUAGCUUUUCAUUUCAGUUUAAUCACUGGGAUAAAAACUUCAUACAAAAGAUUUAAAUAUUUUAAUUCAAUUUUUAAAGCUACUUUAAUUAAAACAAUUAAACCUAAAUAUCUGUAUUAUAGCUUUGUGUCAAAAAAAAAAAUACUACUAGUUCUAUUAAAACUGCUUUUAAGACAGAUUUAGUUAAACAGGGCAAGCAACUUGUACUUGCUCUUAGACAAUUUUAAACUUGAUUAGCUUUGAUUUGAUGAGAAACACUGUAUCUUCAUGAAGGAAGAAUUUAAUGUUAAUCACCUUCAUCUGUCUAAGAGUUCUGAAUGAAGUUCCCACCAUAAUCAGCUGAAAGGGACAGUCAUGUCAGAAAUGAAUCAUUCCACCUGUUCUGGACAUCUGUAUUAGAAUGGAAAAAAUCACCUUUCACUCAUAACUUUCUCUUCGUGUCUUGAAAAUAUAGUAAAGAGAAACAGUUAAGACUAUGCACUGCUUUUACAUUACUAAAAACAGGUGAAGUUUUUUCCAAGCUGAGCAUUUGCACUAGUUCAAUUUAUUUAUAUUUUUGUUAAUUAAAAUGAAUUAAUGUUCAGCAACAUCUGAGAAAGCAACAUUUGCAUAAUAUUUAUGCAGUUAUUGAUCCAUCAGUAUUAUUUAUUAUGAUUUGGUUACCACACAAAGAAUAAUUAUUAUUUUGUUCUUUAAUUUAUCCCUAGAAAAGAGUUUCUCAAGUAAUGCCUGUUUAAAAGUUGUUUCUGCUCUCUUAUUUAAGGAAGGAAAGAGGUGGACAUAACAGUGAGCUCCAUUUUUCUUUCUACAAACAAUAUUAUAAAAUGAGCUCUAGUGGAAAUAAUGCGUACUCAGUGCAGAGAAAUGUUCAUGCUCACCUUCUCUUCUUCAUUGUGCACAAAUAGCUGGAAGGAAGGAAAAAAAUGUUGCUGUGAAUAAAUCCAUUACCCAUGAAGUAUUUUGGGAUGAGAGAAAAGCGUUUUUAAGAAGAAAUGAAGUAAUUGAUUGCAUAUCUAAAGAAACCAGUGAAGGACUAAGCCACAUUACAGUCAAAAACAUAACAUUGCAAGACUGAAAAAUUGCUUUCCUUUUGUUUGUUGAAAUGACAUUGCCUUAUAUAUAUACUUUCAAAAUAUCUCCAGCAGUUUCUUUAACUGCUUUAUCUUUUGUGUGUUGUCUAGCUACAGGAAAUUGGAAAUUGGGCUAUACUGUCCCUUUUACAUUAAUGGUCACAAAUAAGUUUUGUGGCAGUAGUUUUCAUGUCAUCUAAAUGAAGAACAGUAUGGAGAACCAGUUUUUUAUUAUUAUUAUUACUAUUAUUAAUAAUAAUAAUUAAUUUAAUUGAUUUCUUUCUAAUUUCAUGGAAUAUCUUCAUUUUAUUUUGAGAAAAAAAAAAAAAUCAUAGAAUCAUAGAAUCCUAGAAUGGCCUGGUUUGAAAAGGAUCUCAAAGAUCACCUAGUUUCAACACACCUGCCGUGGGCAGGGUUGUCAGCCACUAGACCAGGAUGUCCAGAGCCACAUCCAGCCUGGCCUUGAAUGCCUCCAGGGAUGGGGCAUCCACAACCUCCUUGGGCAACCUGUUCCAGUGCUUCACCACUGUCUGAGUGAAAAAAUUCCUCCUAAUAUCUAAGCUAACCCUCCCCUGACUUUGUUUAAAACCAUUCCCCCUUGUCUUAUCACUAUGCAUUUAUGUAAACAGUCAUUCCCAUUCCUGUUUAUAUGCUCCCUUUAAGUACUGGAAGGCCACAAUGAGGUCUCCCUGGAGCGUUAUCUCCUUCAAGCUAAACAAGUCCAGUUUCCUCAGCCUUUCUUCAUAGGAGAGGUGCUCCAGCCCUCUGAUCUUCUCAGUGCAGUGGUCCUCCUCUGGACCUGUUCCAAGAGAUCUGUGCUGGGGGCCCCAGGCCUGGACGCAGUACUCCAGAUGGGGCCUCACAAGAGCUGAGUAGAUGCAGACAAUCACCUCCCUCUCCCUGCCGGCCACCCUUUUUUUAAUGCAGCCCAGAACACAGUUGCCCUUCCAGACUGUAAGCGCACACUGCUGGCUCAUGUCCAGCUUCUUGUCCACUAGGACCCCCAAGUCCUUCACCACAUGGCUGCUCUCAAGUUCUUCCUUCAUUCUGUAUAAAUACCUGGGAUUGCCCUGGCCCAAGCUUGCACUUGGCCUUGUUGAACCUCAUGAGUUUCACAUGGACCCACUUCUCCACCCUGUCCAGGUUCCUCUGGAUCGUUUUCCUUCCCUCCAAUGUAUUGACUACAUCUCUCAGAAAAUAUACAGCCUACCCUCUCACAGUCUUCUUUGAUGAACUUUAUACUCUGUAUUAUCCUCCUUUUCUAACAGACAUUAACUCUUCCUCGUAUUUUUCACUUGUGUCAUAUUUUUCCAGUGCCAUUUCUGUGAUCAAAUAUCUAAAUUGCUUAGUAGCCAUGUGCAUGGCGGUGACUGCACCAGCUGCCGGGGAUUUCCUUGUCUUUUUCCAUUGCAUGUUUCAAUCCAUAGAAGAAUAUGCCUGCAUGAUAAAAUUAUGUGUUUUACAAAAGGAAAAGGGCACACAUUACUAUAAGUCUGAAAACACUCCUUUGCAGAUUUUUUGAUGAUUUAGGUUAAUGUUACGCAAAGAAUGCCCAGCCCAGUUCUUCCCUAGAGAAUGCAAACCAGUUUUUGCAUCUGUUUUAUUAAGAUGUAAGUUAGGAGAGCUCAGUGCUCCUGACAUUACCUACAUUGAAACGUCAGUACAUUUAUAUUAAAAGAUACUUUCAUAUCAGGUGAUGGUAAAUUCUCUGGAAAUAAGUGGGGCAAUGCUGGUGGAGAAGAUCAACUUCUGAAUUAGGCUCCCUAUUCAUAUUGUCUUCUGGAGACAUCUUUACAGAAUAUGGAGAUUGCUGUUGUCUCAUCCUUUCUCUGUCCCCAGCUCUUUGUGGAGCUUAUGCUCCUGAGAUAUAUUUUUAAAUCUCAUGUAACAUUCUAGACUUUAAUAAUGGCAAUGAAUUGUAUAGAUAUCAAUAAGAUGUACUCAGUAUUAGGGAAAACUGCAUAGUUAUGUUUAGAUGCUGAAAAAUUAAUGGAGGUACUGAGACUUUUCUUGCAAAAAAUAUUUAUCAAUCUUUGCAUUGAUUAACUGAAAGUCUGAAAGUUAUCAAACUUUGCAUUGAGUAACUGGCAAUCAUAUUGGAUAUUUCUAAGAAAGUUCUGGUAUAAAAUAUACAAAAAAAGACAUUUUUAAAAAGUUAAAAGAAAUUAUGUCAAUAUUCUGCUUAUAACAUCACAAAAUAAACAAUCAAACAAAUGAAUUGUGAUUGUAUAGACAAAAUGAAUGCCUUAUGUACUACUAAGCCACAAAUAUAUUGCAGUUCAUCACUUCAAGGUUUAUGAGCUAUUCACAUUGAGAUAGAUCACCUAAUCUUUCUCUGAUCAAUCUACAUAUACAUCUGUAACAAGAUGCAUUGUGUGAACCUCUACAGAGUUGUAGCACUGCUGGUAUUAUAUAUUAUUUGUUCUGCAUAUUGCAUUUUACCUCACAAUCACUACUGGAAAUUUCUGAUGUCAGAACGAUGCCGGGUCUCCAUCUUACAAUGAUAAUUACUUUAGCUGCAGAGCUUGUAUUUAUGGUUAAAACUCCAAUGCAGUAUUUUUUUCCUGUUUUCUUGCAUGUUUAUCUAAUUGCUACGCAGUUAUGAAAUGGGUAAGUUAUGAAUGUACUGAUUUAAUUAGAAGCUUUGAUUAUAUUUAUUUAUUACCCACAAAAAGUAAAUGGAGUAACUUUCAUACAAGGUUUACACUGGCUCUGAAGACUUUAAAUACAAUUACUGGCAAGCUACUGUAGUAGACACAUGGUGUGUGUGGGGGUGUCAGCUUUUAAUUGUAACUGUCUUGCAGAGUGGUGUUGUUUUAAUAUCCUGUAUAGAUUUUUAUGUAAUACACUUACUUGCAGGCAGCCUGAAGCAAGAAUCAAUUCUGUGAAGGAUUCUUCUUUUGUUAAAAGCCAAUCUUGUUUUAAUGAUGCAUGAAGAAAUAUUCGAGCAUUGACAUUUUUCUGUCAGGUUUCUUUUGAAAAAUCAAUUAAGAUAAUACUGCUUUGACCUAGUUAUCUAGUUAAUGCUUAUUAGGAAUGUAAUAUGAUUUACUGUCAGCAUAAUAAUUUUUGUAUCUUAUCCCAUUAGCUUGUGCAUAUUUCAAAGUGUAUUACACAAUGGUCACUUCUUAAAAUGUAAUGUAGCAGAAUACAUUAAUUAGAUUGACUGGGAUCAUUAGACAGAAACUCUCUCAUUGGUUCUUUGUAUAAAAUUUGUAUAUCAUCUCUAUCAAGUUAAUUCAUUGUUUACUUGUCUGAAGAGUGUUUCUGAAGUUUUUUGAUUGGACAAAAACUGAUUGUUUCAUGUCUACCAAUUCUUUGUUCUUAGCUCUUCCUGGGCUAUGCAAACUAAUUGCAAGUGACCACCAAAGAAACAAAUCUUCACAUGUGAGGUUUUUUGAAAUCUGUAAGUCAUGAAAGAUUGGAGAAGUAUACAGUGCUAAAUAGAGGACAGCCAUGAGAGUACAGAAAUCAGUGAAGCACUAGAUUUGCUAUUUCUAAUGUCAAGUUACAAAAUACAUUGAAAUGACAAGAAUCAUUUUAGAAGAAGGUAUGGAGGAGCAGAAAGGAGAAAGCAUGCACUGCACCAGGAUGUGGGACCAUCUCUUUGACCUCUGGAGAUGUCUGAAAGAACAUGGGUGCUCAUAGCUAAAGAGCAGUGGAUGUCAGACAAUGCUAAGAGACGAUCUUAAAUGAUUAGAGUUUAUUUAAGGUGCCAGGCCUCUGCAUGUGGCAGGUUUCCUGUCCUUUUUGGGUCAGUCAAAUGCUGAACUGGAACUUGGAACUCACCCAGUGGCUGGUCAACAAAGGUUCAGGAAUAAGACUCACCCUUAGAACUCCUUGGCAUCUGGAGAAUGAAGGAGGCCACUGCAAUUCUUUUCUGAACAACCUCUUCUAUAGUAUGUCCACCGCAUCCUCUCAGGCUCUCCUUACUGACUGUACAUGAAAGCUGCUUGAUGAAUAUUCUCAAAAGUCACUUUUCCCUCCUAUUUAUUCUGACAAGAUGAAGAGAUUUUAAAUGACAGUAUUGCCUCUAUUUGCACAACCACUUCUGCUGCAGAAAUUAUCAGUAAGCAAAUGAGUCUGCCACCAAGAAGGGAAAUUCUCUUCCUUUCCUCUGUGGAAGACCCUAAGGAAAAUCCCUGCUCCUCAUCUGAAGAGAUCUGCACAGGUUGGAGAAGAGCAGCAUAUUUUCUGUGGUGUUGCUGCCAGGGAGCAAGGACAGGAGACUGCUAGGUCAGAUCUUUACCUCAGAGAGAAUAUUGUGGAUGCUUAAUUCGACUAGAGGUAAGCUUAUGUAAGGCGUUGAAGUCUGAGAAAGUCAGGCUGAAAAAAAUUGUACAGUAUAAUCUGAGGUUGGUGGGAAAUCUCUGCCUGCUGCUCUCUCAUAUAGUGAUAAAAUUAUGUUUUUCUAGUGCAUCAUGAACUAUUUCUAAUUAACAAGCAACAAAUCUACACAAAUUCAAGCUGUUCAUAGAAUUCAGUGAAGAUUUAAACACAAUUUAGAGUCAAUUCCAAUUCACCAAAUCUGUGUAGAUAGUUAUAAAUAGUUAAAUCUUUGG
This 8172-nucleotide long non-coding RNA is filed under the name Gallus gallus (chicken). RNAcentral's name for it is "lncRNA (ENSGALG00010009071.1)". Lineage: Eukaryota; Metazoa; Chordata; Aves; Galliformes; Phasianidae. The record is from RNAcentral.